UAAGAGUUAGUUUAAAUUUUAGAAUUGUUGAUUGUUGAUCAAAAGGUUUACUCUUAG
RNAcentral lists this transfer RNA (57 nucleotides) under Bunostomum phlebotomum (cattle hookworm). RNAcentral describes it as "tRNA-Asn". The record is from RNAcentral. Lineage: Eukaryota; Metazoa; Nematoda; Chromadorea; Rhabditida; Ancylostomatidae.